CAGCCGCCGCGGGAAUACCGUGGGUGCGAGCGUUAAUCGGAUUUACUGGGCGUAAAGCGUGCGUAGGCGGCUAAUUGAGUCGGAUGUGAAAUCCCCGAGCUUAACUUGGGAAUUGCAUUCGAUACUGGUUAGCUAGAGUGUGGGAGAGGAUGGUAGAAUUCCAGGUGUAGCGGUGAAAUGCGUAGAGAUCUGGAGGAAUACCGAUGGCGAAGGCAGCCAUCUGGCCUAACACUGACGCUGAGGUACGAAAGCAUGUGGAGCAAACAGGAUUAGAUACCCGUGUAGUCCCUGUCUCUUAUAC
This 301-nucleotide ribosomal RNA is filed under the name uncultured bacterium. RNAcentral describes it as "partial 16S ribosomal RNA". It matches the Rfam family "Bacterial small subunit ribosomal RNA", at positions 509 to 807 of the family's 1533-position model. The record is from RNAcentral.